CAGUCGCCGCGGGAAUACAGAGGGUGCGAGCGUUAAUCGGAUUUACUGGGCGUAAAGCGUGCGUAGGCGGCUUCUUAAGUCGGAUGUGAAAUCCCUGAGCUUAACUUAGGAAUUGCAUUCGAUACUGGGAAGCUAGAGUAUGGGAGAGGAUGGUAGAAUUCCAGGUGUAGCGGUGAAAUGCGUAGAGAUCUGGAGGAAUACCGAUGGCGAAGGCAGCCAUCUGGCCUAAUACUGACGCUGAGGUACGAAAGCAUGGGGAGCAAACAGGAUUAGAUACCCGUGUAGUCCAUGUCUCUUAUAC
This 301-nucleotide ribosomal RNA is filed under the name uncultured bacterium. RNAcentral's name for it is "partial 16S ribosomal RNA". It matches the Rfam family "Bacterial small subunit ribosomal RNA", at positions 509 to 807 of the family's 1533-position model. The record is from RNAcentral.